AUUGAACGCUGGCGGAAUGCUUUACACAUGCAAGUCGAACGGCAGCACGGGGGCAGCCCUGGUGGCGAGUGGCGAACGGGUGAGUAAUACAUCGGAACGUGCCCGGUCGUGGGGGAUAACGUAGCGAAAGUUACGCUAAUACCGCAUACGAUCUGAGGAUGAAAGCGGGGAACCUCGGGGCCCCGCGCAUCCGGAGGGGCCGAUGUCAGAUUAGGUAGUUGGUGGGGUAAAGGCCUACCAAGCCGACGAUCUGUAGCUGGUCUGAGAGGACGACCAGCCACACUGGGACUGAGACACGGCCCAGACUCCUACGGGAGGCAGCAGUGGGGAAUUUUGGACAAUGGGCGCAAGCCUGAUCCAGCCAUUCCGCGUGCAGGACGAAGGCCUUCGGGUUGUAAACUGCUUUUGUACGGAACGAAAAGGCUCUGGCUAAUACCUGGGGCUCAUGACGGUACCGUAAGAAUAAGCACCGGCUAACUACGUG
RNAcentral lists this ribosomal RNA (484 nucleotides) under uncultured bacterium. Its description in RNAcentral is "partial 16S ribosomal RNA". It matches the Rfam family "Bacterial small subunit ribosomal RNA", at positions 29 to 507 of the family's 1533-position model. The record is from RNAcentral.